RNAcentral lists this long non-coding RNA (1426 nucleotides) under Olea europaea subsp. europaea. The record is from RNAcentral. Lineage: Eukaryota; Viridiplantae; Streptophyta; Magnoliopsida; Lamiales; Oleaceae.
GUCACAUUGUCGUUCUCUAAGACAUUUGAGAUAAUGUUUGUUGGUUUUUUAAUCUAUUUUGUACUCAAAGAGAUGACAAGAUGAGCACAAAUGUAGAUGUUUUUUCCUUCAUUAGAUAGUAUUAAAGAUGUAAAAGGAUAAAGGAAAGGCUUUGUUACCUUCUGAUUGUGGAGUUAAUGAAUAUUAUGCCCAUGAUCUUCACUGAUUAUCUAGAUUUGCCCAGCCAUGAUCUCACCUAGCAUUUGAUAAAAAUAGAUUUAAAAUACCACCAGACUGACUUUGGUUUCCAAUCCAGCUAGUUCAAAGUUGUGCAUUUUAUUUGAAUUUAUGAUAUUUACUACUUGCACAAAUGUAUUUUAUAUGCAUGUAUGUGUAGUGUAAUGAAUUAUAUUUCUUUCGAGUUGAUUUGUGUGGAGCUUUAUGAUGUUGGAAAUUUGUCUUGUUUGUGAUUAUAGAUGGCACUGUACUGGUACAUUUGAUGUACGCAAUAGAACUGGAGGUUGUUUUGGAACCAUGAGGUUCCAUGCUGAGCUGGCUCAUGGAGCCAACAAUGGCAUUGACAUUGCUUUUAGGUUCUUGUAGCCCAUCAGGGAGCAAUUCUCUGUCCUUUAUCUUACUGAUUUCUAUCAAGAAGUUUAUUGAUUCAGAAUGUUUAUAUUACGUAAUUUGUUUGGUUUGCUUUAUUAAAUAUAAAUUUUUUAGAGAAAUUGGAUUAUUUUCAUCCUCAUCUUGCACAUAGUUGGCUGCUGGUGUUGUUGAAGUUACUGGAGUACGUAAAAUUCCAAUCCAUCCAGGAAGGCUGGUUAGUAUUUUUUUUUUCCAACUCAACCGAUGCAUUUAACAAUUUUAUGUUUAUAAUCUGCAUGUACAAAUUGUGAUAUGCACAUUUUUUGAGUUAUUAUGUUGUCUAUUCAUUAUUAAGAAGCCAUGUUUUAGAAUGUGGUAUAGCUUAUGUGCUUGUAAAGAGUAAGACACAAUUUAUCCCUUCAUGAAUUUAAAUGUCUAUUCAUUUUUUGCAUUUGAACUUUGUCUUAAAUUUGUAGUGACAUACAACUUGUAAGAAUUGAACCUAGAUGUUUUAAAUCAUUAUUUAUAAUAUGAGAUAUUUGAUAUAUUUUUCCUCUAACUAAUAUUUUAUUACUUUUUAUAUGUUCGUCUUUGACUGAAGUUUUGGAGCUUGUCCUUUCAGGAAUCCUCAUUUAACCAAAUAACAAAUUGUGGUUGAGCUGAAAGUAUAUCUUGAAGUCAAGAAAGUUAUUUGAUUGUCCUGUGAAUUAGUAGUUAAUUCUUCAGUCUUUGGAUUUGAUUUUCUUCUUUUUAGGUUUGGUGAACUACACUAAGUAGUUCAAUCAUGAAAUUGUUAGCAUAUAUUUUAUUGGUAUUUGUUUUGGUUUUGGAGGUAACCAAGUUUCUAAAUAAUGCUUUG